Molecule: ribosomal RNA, 506 nt
Filed under: uncultured bacterium
Lineage: Bacteria
Description: partial 16S ribosomal RNA
Rfam family: Bacterial small subunit ribosomal RNA
Source: RNAcentral
AGUGAACGCUGGCGGUAGGCCUAACACAUGCAAGUCGAACGGCAGCACAGGAGAGCUUGCUCUCUGGGUGGCGAGUGGCGGACGGGUGAGGAAUACAUCGGAAUCUACUCUGUCGUGGGGGAUAACGUAGGGAAACUUACGCUAAUACCGCAUACGACCUACGGGUGAAAGCAGGGGACCUUCGGGCCUUGCGCGAUUGAAUGAGCCGAUGUCGGAUUAGCUAGUUGGCGGGGUAAAGGCCCACCAAGGCGACGAUCCGUAGCUGGUCUGAGAGGAUAAUCAGCCACACUGGAACGGAGACACGGUCCAGACUCCUACGGGAGGCAGCAGUGGGGAAUAUUGGACAAUGGGCGCAAGCCUGAUCCAGCCAUACCGCGUGGGUGAAGAAGGCCUUCGGGUUGUAAAGCCCUUUUGUUGGGAAAGAAAUCCAGCUGGCUAAUACCCGGUUGGGAUGACGGUACCCAAAGAAUAAGCACCGGCUAACUUCGUGCCAGCCGCCGCAGUAA